UUGUGGUUUGAGCUGAAUACU
RNAcentral lists this non-coding RNA (21 nucleotides) under Caenorhabditis elegans. Lineage: Eukaryota; Metazoa; Nematoda; Chromadorea; Rhabditida; Rhabditidae. The record is from RNAcentral.